RNAcentral lists this ribosomal RNA (325 nucleotides) under uncultured eukaryote. RNAcentral describes it as "partial 18S ribosomal RNA". It matches the Rfam family "Eukaryotic small subunit ribosomal RNA", at positions 1470 to 1796 of the family's 1831-position model. The record is from RNAcentral.
CCCUUAGAUGUUCUGGGCCGCACGCGCGCUACACUGAUGCAUUCAACGAGCCUAUCCUUGACCGACAGGUCCGGGUAAUCUUUGAAUCUGCAUCGUGACGGGGAUAGAUUAUUGCAAUUAUUAAUCUUCAACGAGGAAUGCCUAGUAGGCGCAAGUCAUCAGCUUGCGUCGAUUACGUCCCUGCCCUUUGUACACACCGCCCGUCGGUCCUACCGAUUGGGUGUGCUGGUGAAAUGUUCGGAUCGGCCGUUUGUCGCGGUUUCCGCGUCAUGUGGCUGAGAAGUUCAUUAAACCCUCCCACCUAGAGGAAGGAGAAGUCGUAACA